RNAcentral lists this long non-coding RNA (298 nucleotides) under Vulpes vulpes (red fox). Its description in RNAcentral is "lncRNA (ENSVVUG00000014066.1)". The record is from RNAcentral. Lineage: Eukaryota; Metazoa; Chordata; Mammalia; Carnivora; Canidae.
AUGGGAGCAAGUCAAGUACCAAGAGAUCUGAGACACCCCAGUGAGAUGGGCAAUGUCAGUGUCCCUCCUCCUGAUAGACGCCAGAAUAAGUUGCUUCUGUGUCGUAAGAAGGCCCGUCUCAAACUUGAAGGAUGGUGGCCAGGUGUGCUGUCAAGGGUGUACCACUGGCAUCAACAUGUAUUGAAUGUUUUAAAAAAGCAAUACAGAGUAAUGUUUAUUUAAACAAUAGCCACCAAUGGUAUGAGACACUCAGAUGGAAAUCCAGUAGUUCCUCACACAGCGGGCGGCUUCAUCGGAG